RNAcentral lists this ribosomal RNA (400 nucleotides) under uncultured bacterium. RNAcentral describes it as "bacterial SSU rRNA". It matches the Rfam family "Bacterial small subunit ribosomal RNA", at positions 355 to 774 of the family's 1533-position model. The record is from RNAcentral.
UUAGGAAUCUUCCACAAUGGGCGAAAGCCUGAUGGAGCGACGCCGCGUGAGGGAUGAAGGCCUUAGGGUUGUAAACCUCUAAAAGAGGGACGAUAAUGACGGUACCUCUUGAAUAGCACCGGCUAACUCCGUGCCAGCAGCCGCGGUAAUACGGAGGGUGCAAGCGUUAUCCGGAAUCACUGGGCGUAAAGGGCGCGUAGGCGGUCUGUUAAGUCCGAUGUUAAAUCCCGGGGCCCAACCCCGGAUAAGCGUUGGAUACUGGCAGGCUAGACGGUUGGAGAGGCGAGUGGAAUUACCAGUGUAGCGGUGGAAUGCGUAGAUACUGGUAGGAACACCCAUUGCGAAGGCAGCUCGCUGGACAACACGUGACGCUGAGGCGCGAAAGUGUGGGGAGCAAACC